UACAGAGGGUGCAAGCGUUAAUCGGAAUUACUGGGCGUAAAGCGUGCGCAGACGGUUGCGUAAGUCAGAUGUGAAAGCCCCGGGCUCAACCUGGGAAUUGCAUUUGAGACUGCGUAGCUAGGGUGCGGAAGAGGGAAGCGGAAUUUCCGGUGUAGCGGUGAAAUGCGUAGAUAUCGGAAGGAACACCAGUGGCGGAAAGCGGCUUCCUGGUCCAGCACCGACGUUCAGGCACGGAAAAGCGUGG
Molecule: ribosomal RNA, 244 nt
Filed under: uncultured bacterium
Lineage: Bacteria
Description: partial 16S ribosomal RNA
Rfam family: Bacterial small subunit ribosomal RNA
Source: RNAcentral